This 484-nucleotide ribosomal RNA is filed under the name uncultured bacterium. RNAcentral describes it as "partial 16S ribosomal RNA". It matches the Rfam family "Bacterial small subunit ribosomal RNA", at positions 28 to 523 of the family's 1533-position model. The record is from RNAcentral.
GAUGAACGCUGGCGUCGUGCUUAACACAUGCAAGUCGAACGGUGAAGCAGGAGCUUGCUCUUGUGGAUCAGUGGCGAACGGGUGAGUAACACGUGAGCAACCUGCCCCUGACUCUGGGAUAAGCGCUGGAAACGGCGUCUAAUACUGGAUAUGUGAUGUGACCGCAUGGUCUGCAUCUGGAAAGAAUUUCGGUUGGGGAUGGGCUCGCGGCCUAUCAGCUUGUUGGUGAGGUAAUGGCUCACCAAGGCGUCGACGGGUAACCGGCCGGAGAGGGUGACCGGCCACACUGGGACUGAGACACGGCCCAGACUCCUACGGGAGGCAGCAGUGGGGGAUAUUGCACAAUGGGCGGAAGCCUGGUGCAGCAACGCCGCGUGAGGGAUGACGGCCUUCGGGUUGUAAACCUCUUUUAGCAGGGAAGAAGCGAAAGUGACGGUACCUGCAGAAAAAGCACCGGCUAACUACGUGCCAGCCGCCGCCGUAA